GUUCUUUCAUAUAUAAUAUCGGCAGCACAUAUUGGAACGAUACAGAGAAGAUUAGCAUGGCCCCUGCCCAUCACUAACUUUGGAUGCAGUGACAUCUACACCCAUUUC
This is a non-coding RNA of Podarcis lilfordi (Lilford's wall lizard), 108 nucleotides long. Lineage: Eukaryota; Metazoa; Chordata; Lepidosauria; Squamata; Lacertidae. The record is from the annotation of a GenBank genome assembly.